UGUACCUAUACAAAUUAAUUAAUACUUAGUUUUACUAAUCUUAUAAGGAUUAAAGCAGCAUUAUGUCUGAUGACGCCGAUGUAGAAAAGAUAUUGGUUGUUAUUAAUCAUUUUCAAAAGGUUUUGGAUACCUUAAAAGAUAUUGAUAAUGUAGAAUUCGUUAUUAAUAAAUUAGGUUUGGAAAAGAAACAGGAAUUAUUAAAACAAAUUGAUAAUAUCGCUAACGAGUGCUCUUUAAAAAUCUACAACAUAAAU
Long non-coding RNA from Sitophilus oryzae (rice weevil), 254 nucleotides. RefSeq lists it as uncharacterized. The record is from RefSeq and is a predicted model, not a curated record. The transcript has 2 exons. NCBI's taxonomy places the organism in Eukaryota, Metazoa, Arthropoda, Insecta, Coleoptera, Curculionidae.